Molecule: ribosomal RNA, 424 nt
Filed under: Verrucomicrobiota bacterium
Lineage: Bacteria; Pseudomonadati; Verrucomicrobiota
Description: Verrucomicrobia bacterium partial 16S ribosomal RNA
Rfam family: Bacterial small subunit ribosomal RNA
Source: RNAcentral
UGAGGAAUAUUGGUCAAUGGACGCAAGUCUGAACCAGCCAAGUAGCGUGCAGGAUGACGGCCCUAUGGGUUGUAAACUGCUUUUAUAUGGGGAUAAAGUGGGGAACGUGUUCCCUUUUGCAGGUACCAUACGAAUAAGGACCGGCUAAUUCCGUGCCAGCAGCCGCGGUAAUACGGAAGGUCCAGGCGUUAUCCGGAUUUAUUGGGUUUAAAGGGAGCGUAGGCUGGAGAUUAAGUGUGUUGUGAAAUGUAGACGCUCAACGUCUGAAUUGCAGCGCAUACUGGUUUCCUUGAGUACGCACAACGUUGGCGGAAUUCGUCGUGUAGCGGUGAAAUGCUUAGAUAUGACGAAGAACUCCGAUUGCGAAGGCAGCUGACGGGAGCGCAACUGACGCUUAAGCUCGAAGGUGCGGGUAUCAAACAGG